RNAcentral lists this unclassified non-coding RNA (253 nucleotides) under uncultured Cytophagales bacterium. RNAcentral's name for it is "contains 16S-23S intergenic spacer region". It matches the Rfam family "Bacterial small subunit ribosomal RNA", at positions 524 to 776 of the family's 1533-position model. The record is from RNAcentral. Lineage: Bacteria; Pseudomonadati; Bacteroidota; Sphingobacteriia; Sphingobacteriales.
UACGUAGGGUGCAAGCGUUGUCCGGAGUUAUUGGGUUUAAAGGGUGCGUAGGCGGCCUGAUAAGUCAGUGGUGAACUCCUGCAGCUUAACUGUAGAUGUGCCAUUGAUACUGUUAGGCUUGAGUACAGACGAGGUAGGCGGAAUUUAUGGUGUAGCGGUGAAAUGCAUAGAUACCAUAAAGAACACCGAUAGAGAAGUCAGCUUACUAGGCUGUAACUGACGCUGAGGCACGAAAGCGUGGGGAUCGAACAGG